AACGAACGCUGGCGGCAUGCCUAACACAUGCAAGUCGAACGAGACCUUCGGGUCUAGUUGCGCACGGGUGCGUAACGCGUGGGAACCUGCCCUUAGGUUCGGAAUAACUCCCCGAAAGGGGUGCUAAUACCGGAUAAUGUCUUCGGACCAAAGAUUUAUCGCCUUUGGAUGGGCCCGCGUUGGAUUAGCUAGUUGGUAGGGUAAAAGACUACCAAGGCGACGAUCCAUAGCUGAUCUGAGAGGAUGAUCAGCCACACUGGGACUGAGACACGGCCCAGACUCCUACGAGAGGCAGCAGUGUGGAAUAUUGGACAAUGGGCGAAAGCCUGAUCCAGCAAUGCCGCGUGAGUGAUGAAGGCCUUAGGGUUGUAGCUCUUUUACCCGGGAUGAUAAUGACAGUACCGGGAGAAUAAGCUCCGGCUAACUCCGUG
Molecule: ribosomal RNA, 431 nt
Filed under: uncultured bacterium
Lineage: Bacteria
Description: partial 16S ribosomal RNA
Rfam family: Bacterial small subunit ribosomal RNA
Source: RNAcentral